Gossypium arboreum is the source of this 142-nucleotide non-coding RNA. NCBI's taxonomy places the organism in Eukaryota, Viridiplantae, Streptophyta, Magnoliopsida, Malvales, Malvaceae. The record is from Rfam.
UGUAGAAAACUUCAUCCAUUUCUACUAUUAAAAACUGGCGUGGCUAACGGAAUAACCAGACAAAUACACAUGGUGUGCCACGUGUACCUUAUGUUGACGUACAAGGACCAAUUUUUAACAGAAAUGGAUGAAACUUUUAACA